UCGCUGGUGGCUCAGUGGUAAAGAAUCUGCCUGCCAAAGCAGGAGACUCAGGUUUGAUCCCUGAUCUGGGAA
This 72-nucleotide transfer RNA is filed under the name Bos taurus (domestic cattle). It matches the Rfam family "tRNA". From Rfam's summary of the family: Transfer RNA (tRNA) molecules are approximately 80 nucleotides in length. Lineage: Eukaryota; Metazoa; Chordata; Mammalia; Artiodactyla; Bovidae. RNAcentral also lists the same sequence under 2 other names. The record is from Rfam by way of RNAcentral.